CAGGAAAUAGUUUUAUUGAAAAUUUUAAUUUUGGGAAUUAAAGAAAAGGUGAAUAUCUUUUUUCUGA
RNAcentral lists this transfer RNA (67 nucleotides) under Archiblatta hoeveni. Its description in RNAcentral is "tRNA-Pro". The record is from RNAcentral. Lineage: Eukaryota; Metazoa; Arthropoda; Insecta; Blattodea; Blattidae.